RNAcentral lists this long non-coding RNA (1416 nucleotides) under Ananas comosus (pineapple). RNAcentral's name for it is "long non-coding RNA (ACOM_LNC011436)". The record is from RNAcentral. Lineage: Eukaryota; Viridiplantae; Streptophyta; Magnoliopsida; Poales; Bromeliaceae.
AACAAAAAUAAUAAUAAUGAUAACGGAAAACUUCAAACACCACCUCUUUGAUUUCGCACUUUCUUAUUUUAAUAAUAUAUAGUUUAAAGUGUAUCAUUCUCGUACCAUGUGAUUUUAUUUUUCUUCUUUGUUAUCCUCUUUACUAAUUUUUUUUAUUAAAUUAGUGACAAAGUUAAAACUAAAGGAUACUAAAGUGAAUAUUCGAUAAACUAGAGAUAAAAUAUAUGAAGUUUUUUGUAUAUGAUUUAACGAAAAGUUAACGGAAAAACCGACGAAAAGACAAAAAUGAAAUCACAAGGUACUAUAUUGAUACAUUUUAAACUAUAGGAUACUAAAGUGAGAAAGCGCAAAACCACAAGAGUGGUAUUUGACGUUUACCUAAUAAUAAUAAUGGAGAUCUAGUUAAUGUACGCUAUCGGGUCUUGACACAUAAGCUUAAAACUUUGAAUUAUGAUACUAAGGGCCCGUUUGGUUCGAGUUAUGUAAUAUUACAAAGUACCUCGACAUAUCUAGAUAUCUUGGAUUUCGGCGUGAGAUUACUACUGAUGCUGCAUUAGUGCGUUUGAUUUAAUACAGUAAUGUAAUACUAGAUUACAGUGUUUACAUCAUUAAUAUGUUUGCUUCAGUUUAUAAAAUUUAGUAAUUAUGACAUAAAAGUAUAGUUUUUUUCAAAAUUGUCCUUGUUGUGGUCAUUUGAAUAUUUUUUUUUACAAAAAUAUAAUUUGCAGUAGUAAAUUAAUUAUAUUAAUAAGUAAUAAACCAAAAAUACCUAACAUGAAAAAAAAUUAACGUUGCAAAAAAUUAAUUUCAACCCAUAAAAGAAUAAAUAGAAAAAAAAUAUUAUACAUAAUGAAAAAUCAUAUAAUAAUAAAUAAAUUUUAAUAGAAGAUGAUAAGUGUUCGUGCACGAGAGAGAAAGAGAUAUAGAUAGAGAUAGACGUGCGAGAGAGAGAGCGAGAGAAAGGGGCGUGCGAGAGAGAGGGGGAAGGCGAGAGAGAUGAAAAUAAUAAUGUUAAUUAGAUUCGGGAUUGUUGAAGGGUAAAAUUGUCAUUUUACAUAAUAUUUAGUAUUAACGGGUUUCAGUAAUGCAAGAUACACGACCCCCCUACCGUUAAUAUUUUUGAUGUAAUCCUGCUCGAUUUGUAAUGCUACAUUAACGAUUAGAUUACGUAGCGGAUGUACUAAACAUAGUUAUCCUGGCAGGAUUGUUUGUAAUCCUGCCAGGAUAACUCGAACCAAACGCACCCUAAGUAAUAUAUUUUUUUCAUAUUUUUUGAGAUAAAGAUAGCAAGCUACACAGUUGUUCUUUUUUGUUCAGAAAUAAAUUUAUUAUGAAUGUGAAGUAAUGAGAUUUUGAAUUUGGGACAUCGGAUAUCAAUCAUUAAGCUUUUAGCUAACUGUGCUAGAUACAGCCGGU